This 301-nucleotide ribosomal RNA is filed under the name uncultured bacterium. RNAcentral's name for it is "partial 16S ribosomal RNA". It matches the Rfam family "Bacterial small subunit ribosomal RNA", at positions 509 to 807 of the family's 1533-position model. The record is from RNAcentral.
CAGUAGCCACGGGAAUACAGAGGGUGCGAGCGUUAAUCGGAUUUACUGGGCGUAAAGCGUGCGUAGGCGGCUUUUUAAGUCGGAUGUGAAAUCCCUGAGCUUAACUUAGGAAUUGCAUUCGAUACUGGGAAGCUAGAGUAUGGGAGAGGAUGGUAGAAUUCCAGGUGUAGCGGUGAAAUGCGUAGAGAUCUGGAGGAAUACCGAUGGCGAAGGCAGCCAUCUGGCCUAAUACUGACGCUGAGGUACGAAAGCAUGGGGAGCAAACAGGAUUAGAUACCCCAGUAGUCCCUGUCUCUUAUAC